Non-coding RNA from Triticum urartu, 488 nucleotides. The record is from RefSeq and is a predicted model, not a curated record. NCBI's taxonomy places the organism in Eukaryota, Viridiplantae, Streptophyta, Magnoliopsida, Poales, Poaceae.
AUUCCGAGGACAAGAAGAAGAGGAGGAGGAGGUCCUGAGAGUGUCAUAUGUGCAUUGUUUUUUCUUGUUUCAAAAGUAGAAGGGGAAGAUGUAGAGGGUGGACUACUCAGGGCGAUUGCUGCUGAUGUUGUGUUGUGUUAGGUCAGCAAGUAGUGCUAAAAUUAUUUUGCAGGAAGAGAAGGCAGCGAGAAGAUGUUCCAGGAACUGAGCCUAUUCCAAGGAACAAGACCGGUAACAGCUAGCGCAAAGGAGACUAUGUUGAGAGGUGGCGCUGCUAGACUUGUUGAUGUGUAGUUAUGGCAUAAAAAGCUGAAAAUUAUUGUAUAUUGUAUAAUUCCAUAAGCUGUACGUAGCAAAUCUGUCCAUGUGGAUCAGUACAACUUAUGUACAGCCUUAAAUUCACAAAUCUUAUAGUCAUCUUUGUAGUACUCUUCGUAACACUUUGUAAAGCAAGAGUGGCCCAUUUUCUGUAAGCAACAAUUCAAACG